Molecule: long non-coding RNA, 210 nt
Filed under: Ananas comosus (pineapple)
Lineage: Eukaryota; Viridiplantae; Streptophyta; Magnoliopsida; Poales; Bromeliaceae
Description: long non-coding RNA (ACOM_LNC012025)
Source: RNAcentral
UAAUUUUCGGUGCUGCGAUUCGACGCACGGUUGGUGAGUAUUAGCAAAAUCGGGCCGAACCGGAUUACGGAUGCCGCGGGAGGCCGAUUGCAAGUGUCGACAAGCAAUCGGAAAGCGAUUUGAGGUGUGUUGUGUUUACCGAAGCGACUAGGUCGCCUGUAUGUCUAAGAUGAGUAUUUAUCAUUGAUGCAUAUUAUGGUAGCUAGUAGU